RNAcentral lists this ribosomal RNA (467 nucleotides) under uncultured bacterium. RNAcentral's name for it is "partial 16S ribosomal RNA". It matches the Rfam family "Bacterial small subunit ribosomal RNA", at positions 29 to 507 of the family's 1533-position model. The record is from RNAcentral.
ACGAACGCUGGCGGCGUGCUUAACACAUGCAAGUCGCACGGAAAGACCCUGCUUUUGUGGGGUGCUCGCGUGGCGAACGGGUGAGUAACACGUGAGUAACCUGCCCUUGACUUUGGGAUAACUUCAGGAAACUGGGGCUAAUACCGGAUAGGAGCUCCUGCUGCAUGGUGGGGGUUGGAAAGUUUCGGCGGUUGGGGAUGGACUCGCGGCUUAUCAGCUUGUUGGUGGGGUAGUGGCUUACCAAGGCUUUGACGGGUAGCCGGCCUGAGAGGGUGACCGGCCACAUUGGGACUGAGAUACGGCCCAGACUCCUACGGGAGGCAGCAGUGGGGAAUAUUGCACAAUGGGCGGAAGCCUGAUGCAGCAACGCCGCGUGCGGGAUGACGGCCUUCGGGUUGUAAACCGCUUUCGCCUGUGACGAAGCGUGAGUGACGGUAAUGGGUAAAGAAGCACCGGCUAACUACGUG